CAUGGUUGUCGUCAGCUCGUGUCGUGAGAUGUUGGGUUAAGUCCCGCAACGAGCGCAACCCUUGCCAUUAGUUGCCAGCAGUAAGAUGGGCACUCUAGUGGGACUGCCGGGGACAACUCGGAGGAAGGUGGGGAUGACGUCAAAUCAUCAUGCCCCUUAUGUUCUGGGCUACACACGUGCUACAAUGGCCGGUACAGAAAGCAGCGAAGUCGUGAGGCGGAGCAAAUCUCGAAAACCGGUCCCAGUUCGGACUGCAGGCUGCAACUCGCCUGCACGAAGCCGGAGUUGCUAGUAAUCGCGGAUCAGAAUGCCGCGGUGAAUGCGUUCCCGGGUCUUGUACACACCGCCCGUCACACCAUGGAAGUUGGGGGUGCCCAAAGCCGGCAAGGAAAUAUGCUGUCUAAGGCAAAACCAAUGACUGGGGUGAAGUCGUAACAAGGUAGCCGUAUCGGAAGGUGCGGCUGGAUCACCUC
RNAcentral lists this ribosomal RNA (473 nucleotides) under uncultured bacterium. RNAcentral describes it as "bacterial SSU rRNA". It matches the Rfam family "Bacterial small subunit ribosomal RNA", at positions 1044 to 1529 of the family's 1533-position model. The record is from RNAcentral.